RNAcentral lists this non-coding RNA (24 nucleotides) under Gossypium hirsutum (cotton). Lineage: Eukaryota; Viridiplantae; Streptophyta; Magnoliopsida; Malvales; Malvaceae. The record is from RNAcentral.
UGGCCUGAAAUAGGUGCCAAUAAC